CCUCUGGUAGCUCAGUUGGUAGAGCGGUGGACUGUAGUGGGUCGUUCGAAGGCAGUAAUCCAUAGGUCGCUGGUUCAAAUCCGGCCCGGAGGA
RNAcentral lists this non-coding RNA (93 nucleotides) under Cimex lectularius (bed bug). Its description in RNAcentral is "tRNA". It matches the Rfam family "tRNA". Rfam says of the family: Transfer RNA (tRNA) molecules are approximately 80 nucleotides in length. Lineage: Eukaryota; Metazoa; Arthropoda; Insecta; Hemiptera; Cimicidae. The record is from Rfam by way of RNAcentral.